Perca fluviatilis (European perch) is the source of this 577-nucleotide long non-coding RNA. RefSeq lists it as uncharacterized. The record is from RefSeq and is a predicted model, not a curated record. Lineage: Eukaryota; Metazoa; Chordata; Actinopteri; Perciformes; Percidae. The transcript is spliced from 4 exons.
GUUUUCAGGGGCUUUAAACGCUGUGGUCUGUCUGCUGUGUCGUGGCUUUUAUUGAAACAUGGCAGAGAUUUUCUACAGACUGUUCACCUACUUGGGAUAUGGAAAUAAAUGGGAACAUGUUCCAUUGAGGGACAUGAUGGCGGAGUUCGCGGCGUGUGAGGGGAUGACUGAGGAAAGGACCUCUGGUUCUCAGUCGUCUGGGUGUGCCCCUCACGUGCCGCCGCCACCUCUGCCAGACAUACCUAAACAAUAAAUACAAGAGCCUACCCCGUCGGCUGCAGCCUACACCCCCAGUUGCACCCACUCAACCCCUCACAGAGGUAGGCCCUUCCACCUCUGAUUUCAGGCCCCAGAUGAGGAAGAAGAGAGGGAUUUGAGCGUGAGCCAUUAAGUACGCUCCAGGAGGCUGGCAAUAUGGAGCCACCACCACCUCCUCCUCCUCCUCCUCCUCCUCCUCCUCAAGAGGCUCUGUCCACAGCAGAUGAAGAUGAGUGUUUUUUUAUUUAUUUAUUUAUUUUUUUAUAUUAAGCCUCUUGCCUGAUGACCCUAGUCGAGAGGGCCGAGGUGAAAUUUAGAA